RNAcentral lists this unclassified non-coding RNA (253 nucleotides) under uncultured Anaerolineae bacterium. RNAcentral describes it as "contains 16S-23S intergenic spacer region". It matches the Rfam family "Bacterial small subunit ribosomal RNA", at positions 524 to 776 of the family's 1533-position model. Lineage: Bacteria; Bacillati; Chloroflexota; Anaerolineae. The record is from RNAcentral.
GACGUAGGUGGCAAACGUUAUCCGGAAUUACUGGGCGUAAAGGGUCCGCAGGCGGCGCGGAAAGUCGGACGUGAAAGCUCCCAGCUUAACUGGGAGAAGCCGUUCGAAACUACCGGGCUAGAAUCGAGCAGAGGUCGGUGGAAUUCCUGGUGUAGUGGUGGAAUGCGUAGAGAUCAGGAGGAACGCCAAAAGCGCAGGCAGCCGGCUGGGCUCAGAUUGACGCUGAGGGACGAAAGCGUGGGGAGCGAACAGG